This 718-nucleotide long non-coding RNA is filed under the name Vigna radiata. RNAcentral's name for it is "long non-coding RNA (VRAD_LNC001039)". The record is from RNAcentral. Lineage: Eukaryota; Viridiplantae; Streptophyta; Magnoliopsida; Fabales; Fabaceae.
CUGGACCUACAAUUUAAUUUUGUCCAUGGGCUGCUUACUGCCAAGGUUUCUCUCAAAGCAAAGUUUUCCAGUUUCUAACGUGCUAUUGCUGUCCGAGAAGGUUGGACUUGAAGUUGAAGGCCUGGGCCGUGAAUUCCUAAGUUGGAUGCCCCAUGAAGAAAUGAAUGACCAGCUUUUUGUUGGGCUCGCAGCUGCUAGCUUGUUCCUCUUUUCUCCAAGAAAAAAUUCCAUAAAGAAACAUUUGUUAUUGUAGGCUGCUGCACCUCCUAAUAAAACUUCUUAUGCUGCCAGGAGGGGUCCUCUUUUCUUUUCCUUCCAGCGCAUCCUUUUCCAAGAGUUAAAAUAAAAACCCUGGAGCUCACAAGUGGACAUGUGUUGCACAUGUGAACUACUUCACGUCAAGCCUAAGUGAAUCAAGCACGAGACCUGCAGCCCCUUAUCUUCAAUUGCAGCGUGCUUUCCCUUUUCAUCAGACCGUGUUGGUGGUGUUUGCUGAAGCCGGGCCGAGAGUGAUGUUGUCCGCGUGGAGUGGAAAGAAGGCUGGUCAUUGAAUUUGCUUCCACCGUGUGAAGACUGGACUGCUACAGGGCCGUAUGGAUAAUGAAUUCCAGCUAAACUGCAUGACCCCUUGCCUUUAAAAUGAAGAAUUUUAAUCCUUCAAAUUCACGUGCUGUUGCAAGUGGGUGGCAGCUAUAGCUUUUCCGUGUGCACCCCCAAA